UCACGUUCACAUGCCCGAAGCUUGCAGCGACAUGGAUUGCAGAGGCGCCACCAUUGUCUCGCAAAUACGCAGUAGAUUCAUCAUUUUGUAGCAGAAGUCUCACCAUUUCGAGGUCUCCGCGGGCGGCUGCAAAGUGGAGAGGUACGAGUCCGGCGGCAUCGGCCUUUCGGGUUAAACUGGCCCUCUGCUGCAGCAACAUCCUUGUGAUUUCCACAGCUGAUAAAUCGGAAGACGUUGGAAAAGGUUGUGGGAUCCACCAAUAAACUAAAAGCUUAUAUUAAACAUGACUAUUUAUAAUCUUUUAGAAGAUUCCAUCUUAUUUCUUUUCUGAGUUCCGUGUAUAUAAAUAAAGCAUGCGCCGUAAACUCAGGAUCUUGACUCCAAUUAUGAAAUGAAGUGUGACUAAGACUCCUAAAUCAAAAUCCUAUAUAUUUAAUAUUUCAAGAAACCCAAUAUAAAAAAUAUAUUGUCAAACCUUUCUUUUGAAAUAAACGUAAUUAAUUAUACACUAAGGAAACUACUAUUGGAACAAUCUACUGUUCUAAGUCAUAAAAAGUUGAUCCAGCAUGCAAAACACAGGCACUAUGAGAGAGAGUCUUAAUUGAAACAGAUGGAUAGUUCUAUGUCUAUAAGAUUUAACAGUACAAUUUGACACAGAGGGUUCGUGUGAUCGAUCACUUACGGGAGCUCCUGAGCACGGCUGAGUGCAAAGCUGUCCGCCCAUUAGGUCCGUCGCAUGACGCCUCCGUCGCCGCCAGCAAACGCCGCACGAUCGACGCUGACCCGCUUUCCACCGCCAUAUAGAGGGGCGACACGCCGUUGACGUUGUUGGUCGCCGCCGAUUCGCCCGGAGCCCUCGCCAUCAGUUGCUCGACGAAGGAAUCGUGGCCGUUCCGUGCCGCCUCGUGCAAGGCUGUGUUACCAACGUUGUUUACCAUGUAGGGCAGCCGACGUUCAGGAUCGCCCCGACCGGGAGGGUGAGGGAUGAAGACAUCCACCAUGGUCGUGUGGCCGGCUCUGGCAGCGCAGUGCAACGGAGUGUCUCCUUGUCGGUUUUGGAUCGUGAGGAGGAAGGGCUGCCGGCUGAGGGCUCUGGUGGCGAAGUCAGUGUGUCCUAGCUUGGCUGCAAUGUGAAGCACGGUGUUCCUUUCGGCCGUGACUUGAAGGAGGGAGUCGUUCCCUCCGAGUACGCUCAUGUCGCCCGUCCUCGCUGCCACCAACAAUUCAUGGCUCAUCGGAGUAGCGAAUAAGCCAGGGAGUGGUUCCAUGGCCUCCUCCUCUCCUUGUCGAGAUACUCUUUAACUAUUAUAAAGUAACCCAAGACGAUAUGCCGUCGAUAAGAAUGCGUUUGUGUGAUAUGGUUCUAACUCAUUCGAUGUUGAUGUCAGUGUGUCUCUAAACAGUGCGAUAAUGAAUUAAACUGAAACUUGGUAGUUGGUAAUCUUUGACCCAUUCUCCAAAACAUGUCUGAACAGAGUCAAUGUAAAACCAGCCGACUCCCAAGUCUUUCUUAUUGUGGAUGACAGUAGCUAACACAUGAUCAAGCCAUGAGAUGGUUUGGAUGGGAAGUCCCCAUCGAUCGUCCAUCAUCUGCAUAGAAUAGAAUAGAACAGCAGCACAUACAUCCCGUUCCAGUGGGAGUUUCUGAUUUCUGAUAUCUUAUGACAGUAAUUAACGCAUGAUCAAUGCAUCUCUCUCAUCCAGCGAAAGUCUUUCUGAUUUCUGUGAUGCUUGCAUAUUUAGUCACAUUGAUUUCAGUAGUGCCACAAUAAUACCUGCCUUCUCCUCUCACACAAACCACACUACUGUUUUAUGAAAAAUGAUACUUAUAACCAUGCUUUUCUAUAUACCAACAUGCAAAUGUAGUCUCUUGAUGUUAAGUUAGCACACAUUGCUAAAAUCAAAGUACAUCUUGAUUGUCACAUCAGUUCCUCCCUCUACUCUUCUAAUCUGUGAUGCGACCAUAUUAACUACCCUCUUUAGUUAUUCUUCGUUUUUGAGUUCAAUUAAUUCUUCUCCUUCUACUCCUUUGAAAUAGACCCUAUGGCCGGUGGCCUACUAGAUCUCGCUCGAGCCCCAAUUUCAUCUUUAUUCGCUUUCUUUUCGGCAUUGGUAGAUGAAACCAACAUAUUAGAUGAGAAGAAAAGAAAAAAGACUUGCAUGAUAAAAGAAGUCACGUCAAUAUAAAUGAAUGCAUUUGACCAAAUUUCAAAGUAAACCACAUAAGUUAGCCACAGAUAGUAGCUAGCUAGGGGCCUCGCAAUCAAGUUGACCAACUCAACUAUCGUGAAUCGGAACAUCUAACUCGGAUAACCAACUCAAAUCCUAUCUCAUUCUAAUCUAAUCAUAGUAUAAAUUACUCAGUGGUAGAAGAACGAUACUGUGCUGGUUGAAGUUGCAGCCAUAUAUAAAUAAAGAACCCACUGGCCGUCUUUGAGCUGUUCAUCGAAAGGUUUUAUGUUGUUAGAAUGACAGGACAUACUCGACACAUCAAAUACAAUUUGAUGCGUCAACUGCUGCCGUAAUCAGAUGGUUCUUUCUGAAUAGUUAAAUGAAAUAUUAAUAAUUCUGUCUCUAUCUGCUCUAAUCGUAGUAUAAAAUAUUCCAAGGUAAGAGAACGUAUGGAUGACAGAGCACUGCAGUCAUAUAAACAUAAAGAUUUCAGAUGUUUGAAUCCUUGUAGCCACUCCGGCAAACAGUCCAAAUUGUCGCAUCCGUUGAUCGUCAAGCUUCUGAGUUUAACACAUCGUUCCAUGUCCUGUGGCAAACACCUCAUCUCCUGGCAUCCAACUAUCGCCAAGUUCUUUAUUGGGAGGUUUUGCCAACCCUCGAAUUCAGAUGUCUGCAGCAUUUUAUUGUUCAACCAAAUACUCAACGUUGAGACCUCAAGAUCCACCUCUAAAGCUUUGAAUUUUGGACAUUGGAUCAGUGUCAAUCGACGGAGUUUCGGGAACAAAAAUUCUUUUUUUCUCUCCACCUUUAGCCAUUUUUCUAGUGCAAGCAUAUGAGACAAUGUGAAUCUUUUCAACUCCGGUAAUAUCCCAUUAUUACCAUAAAAUGCUUCAUCCACAACAUCGAUUAAAUCCAUACCACUUAUCUCAACAAUCUUAAGAUCGAGUAGUCCUCCGAGUGAUGGUAGCUUUUUACAUCUCUUAAGAUUGAUUAGUUUGAUCUCUUUCAACUUAUGGAGAUAGUUAAACUCCUCUUUUAUCCAUACAGAAAAUUCUUCACCAACAUAUAAAAUAAUUUCUAAUUUUUUCAAGUUUGGAUUGGGUUGGAGACCUUCAACUAAUUACAGCGAAACCAAUUAUGAAGUUAUCAUAUUUUUCCUAUUUAUCCAUUUCCAAUGUAACUUCAAAUACAUGAGCUACGGAAGUAUAUCAUGCAAGCUUAAAGGAGUCAAAGCAUCUUCACACUUGUUCGAGGUUUUGUAGUAUAAUUCUUUUAGAUUCGUUAACUAUUUCAAUUUUGAGAAGGCAUUUCCAAGAUCACCAAUUAUAAUAUGUCCAGACAACUUGGAGAAGACAUUUCCAAGGUUACUCGUCUAACUUAUUCCAUGUGGUAUUUGAUUCAAUGAACAUUUAUAUACAUUAAGAUUUGUCAGUUUAUUUUAUGUUAUAAGAGAAUCAACCAGCGGUACAAUAAUAAUUGUGUCAUCGUAGGUGGCAUGUGAUGAAGAAAAAUUAAAGCUGUGUCCUGGUUGUGCAUCAUUUCCUCCCACCGACGCAUAAUUAGAGCAUAAAUUUAUUGCUGCCAUCGAUUCAUUUCAGUGUAUUUGAAUAUGGAGCCAAAAUCCUUCACCUUCGUGGGAGACCAAUCAUAUAAAUAAUAGUUUCUCUUAUAGGAUAGAAUUAUCUCGUUUGCUUGCUCGUGUUGAUCAGGCCGGAUGAGUGCUUGUCUCAUGCACAAUUUUACCCACUCAUCCUCCGAUAGGCUGCUGAAUUGCCUCAUUCGGACGGAGGACCCCAAUAUAUCCAGAAUAAAAAACAAGUCAGGAAUGACCACCACGGUACCCCCGGUGCGCCGACGAGCAAUAGAAAGUUCUCCAAUUGGAGCCACUUAUCCUUGUCCUCCUCCCCUAUGUUGAGAUCAUCCAGAACGAGGAAGUGUUUGCUUCCAUGGAUUCCAGAAUAGCCAGAUGUCAUCGCUUGGCUCCCCGGUCAUUGAACUCGUGAAUUCUCUCAGAGAUUCAAUGUUUGGGACAUCCACCCGGAUAAGAUAUAUAUAAUAUAAUUAAUUAAAUUCUAAUAAAAUAUUUUGGUUAAUAGAAAAAAAAAUCUACUUAAAGUAGGAUUUCUUAGAAGAUAAUCUUGAUAGGAGGAAAUCUCAUAAUUAUUUAUCCUAGAUCCUCUACUCUCGCCUAUAAAUAUAUUAGAUCUCUAGGGACUAAAGAGAGAACAUCUCACAGAUGUUAUAGUUGAGGGAUUACAAGUCUUUCCCCAACUCUUCUUCUAAACCAUCAAUCUAUAUGAUCUUGUGAAAGGAUAAGAAAAGAUGAGAAGGAUCUAGUUCUUCUUGCAGAUUGACAGCGAUAUUAGAUUAAAGACGGUACCUUGCAGAUCAAACAGAGAUAUCUUUUCAGAUGAUAUUAAAAGGUAUGCAUCGUUAAGCUAGAUCUACAUAAAAGAUUAUUUUUGCAUCUAAUUUAACAUGUUAUAGUUUUUUAUGCUUACAUCCACUUGAGUGGCUUCGUUAGUUUCCAUGUGAGUGCCUAUUCAUUUCUUCAAAACGGUCACAUAUUAUUGUUGCCCAUUAUAUAGUGUUGGUUUUGUCAUACUAUCUUACUAUAGCAAUUCAAUAUUUGCUUUAUCCACUCUGUUAUGUUCUUAGCUAGAAUUGCUUAAAGCGAAAAAAAAAUGUUAAAAAGGUGAAUAUAGGGGUAAUUUACCAUUGUUACCUACAAAAAAAGGCAUGAUACUCGACAUUCAAAGUAACACAAAACAAUUGACCUUUAUUAGACUUGAAAGGGUAUCAAAAAUAGGCUGAGAAUGCACACAAAGGAGGUUCCGAAGAUAGAUGUAGGCCUAAUAUUUACCUAGUAUUUUUGUCGAACAGAAAGCGGAUAUACUAAAGAUGUUGCAUCACCCCAUAGACACCUACUCAAAGCCCCAUCCUCCCCAAUACAACCUGUUUUUGCCGAACAUUUCAUAUCACUAGGCCAUCAACCAAAAAUCAACUCCUAGCACGUGAGAACAGUAUAGUUUUAGGUCAUUUUCCCCUUUGGUGCCGCACAACCAAAAAUAUUUUUAAGUUUUACCUGAUAAAAACAUAAAAUAAAAACACUGAUAAUAAACAAAAAUGGGGUUAACUAUAGUGUUUUCUGCCUUGUACAAGCUGCCCUAAAGAAAACAUCAAAAAUAUGAAGAAAACAACAUAAAACAAGAAUUGAAAAUCAUCAUGGACAAGUGAUGAAUACCUUGUUUGCAUCAUUCCAUGACACUGACCGGUUGACACAUGAUUAUAAUGGUCUAAAAACUCAGGAGUUUCCCAAGUAUGUUCCAUGAAACUUUUUCUAAUAUUAUUUAAGUUAUUGGUUGAAUCCUUCUAGCCCAAAAUAGACUUAAGCAUCAAAAGAGUAUUUAUUGAGAAUGCCCCUAAUAUAGUUUUAUAAAGUUUGUCCCAACAGAGUCAGUAGGGUUCAUCAGCAUCUUCGAAAUUGAUAGGAUUCGACCUCAUCAGGAUCGAAUGGGUUUGGCACAUUCAAGGUUGAACGAGUGUGGUGUCGAUCGAGAUAAAUUAUGAUAAAUGUAAAAUGAACCUCGGAUAGCUUUGAAUAUAUAGCCAACAAAUUAUGACAAAUGUACAACCGAGUUCUAUGCUAAUAACAUAUAAGUGAUGAAAUAAAUUAGAUGCUUGAUCCAAAUUUUAGCUAUAUACCCUCAAUCUUUGUUUUGUAUAGACUAUCAGAAAUUUAGGGUUUUGUAUAGACUAUCAGAAAUUUUAGCUAUAUACCCUCAUCAAAGAUCAACAUGGUUUUGUAUAGACUAUCAGAAAUUUUAGUUCGGUUCUAGAAUUUGAAAUCAAUCAAUUAAUUUCGUUAACGAAUCUCAAACCUGUCUAUUUUUUUUAAGAUAUUUGAUGAGAAGAUAUUGUUAAGAAGAGAUUUGUAGUUAAAGACCUUAUGUGUUUCUUGUUGAUAGAACGGGACUUGUAAUGAAAAGAAAAGAUUUAAAUUUGACUAACAUUUUGAGAAAGAGAUUAUGAUGCAAGAAUGAAGAAAAAAAAAGUUGAAAAUAGAACAUUUUAUUUCCUUUACAUUUUUUUUACGUAUAUUAAAUUAGUAUGAGAAAUUUAGGGUGCACCCUUUGAGAAAUAUGAAAAAGGGCGCAUCUCCCAAGAAAAGUCUAGAAAUUCACCCAAAUUUAUUCUCAGCAAGUGUUCCGAAGGAGAAAAAAAAAUAUAAUAUACUCAAAUUCUUGAGUUUUGAACUGUUCUUAUUUGAAUAGUCACAAUCAUAUUCAUGAAAAUAUAAAAGAUCAAAAAGGAGUGGUAAAAAAAUAAAAAAAUCUUAUAAAUUAUAUUAAAAAUGCAUUUAUCAUAAUUUUAUUAUAUUAUUAAAAAGUACAUUAUAUAUUAUUACACAGAUUAGAUAAGAAAUAUUGUAUAUUAUAUAAGAUUUGGUUUAACAUAAUGUAUUGAGUGAGAAUAUUUUCAAGAAAUGAUGCCAAUGUUAAUAUUUUCUUAAAUCGGAUUUGGAAGGGAUAGUUAGUUCACAUUGCAAUUAAUUUAGUGAUCAGCAAGGGAAGAGUGGCAUUCCUUAUCAGGAUCUCUUAUCCACGUUUAGAGUUGGAAAUAACAAUACCAAGCAAGAGCCGUAAGCUCUUGAAACAAGCCCAUGUCUCGAGAUGUGUUAUUUUCAGGCCAAAGUUCUUCAAUAACAUUAACAACCUGUUUUUUGUUUUUUUAUUUCUAAAGCAAAACAUGUAUAAUUAAUAUUAAAAACAUAUAUAAUUUCCAAAUCAAAACAUGAAGCUCCGAAGAAAACCCCUCGACCCAAAAAUUUCCAUAGCCACUAACUUUAGCGUCAUUCGCUAGUCAAUUAGUUGUUCGAUUUUGCUCCAUAGACGAACGAGAGAUACUUUAGCUUCCUUAAACGAUAGCAUAUAUACAUCGAUAUCGUGCACCUCAUUAUGAAUAAAGGGUUAAGUUUGUGCAUCAAAAUUCGGACCCCACUUGAAUAUGGAGCUUCUUGAUCCGUAAACCAGAAAAUUAUUUGAAGGGGCAGGCACUUGUAUUCUAUGAUGACAAUAGAUGGAGUCCGACAAACAAGAAAAUUUUGAAUAGAGCAUUUUUUUCUGGAGCCACCGUUCCAUCACUAUCACAAAUAUGAAGUCUUACAUGAUGAAGUCGUGUGAAUUUAUAAGAGUUAGAUCUUAUGAAUUUAUAAGAGCACUUUAUUCUUUAGAUGCUCUCCUAUCGAUCGUAAAGUCUUAUGAAUUUAUAAGAGUUAGAUCUUGAAGGAUGUCAAUGAUUCGUCAAGUCUAUAGAUGUCCAUUGGCUUAAAUGUUACAGGGAAUACGAGCAUAUGCUCCCCUAUCGAUUGCAAAGUCUUGUGAAUUUAUAAGAGUUAGAUCUUGAAGGAUGUCAAUGAUUCGUUAAGUCUAUAUAUAUCCGUUGACUUAAAUGUCGCAGGGAAUAGAGAAGAUGAGUAACCUCCUAACAUUGUCUUAGUUGACAGUCGAAACACAGAGUUAUAGUCAUUAAGAGAUUGUCUUAGUUGACAGUCGAAACACAGAGUUAUAGUCAUUAAGAGAUUAAAAAGAAUGACAUCUACAAAACCUCCCUACUCCUUUAAAGUUGCACAACUUACUUAUUUAUUGCAUUCGAAAUGGUUAAAUAUGACAUUUGAAUUAUAAAUAUUUGAAGGUCUCCAACCCAACACAAAAUUAAAAAAAAUUAGAAAUCAUUUCAUAUGCUGACAAGAGAUUCCCAAUAUGAAUAAAAGCGGUUUUUUGAUGUCUCUAUAAUCUGAAAGUGAUCAAACUCAACAGAAACUAAUUGGUCUCGAUAUUAUUGAGAUAAGUGUUGGCAUAAUCAUGCGACAAGUUGCUACUUAUUGAUGAGGUGCAUCUGUCAUACAUAUAAGCACAUUGCGGAUAAUGGUCAAAUUAACAUUGUCACUUGUUGACGAGGUCAAAUUUGGAUCGUCCAUCUGUGGAAGAAGACCAUUCGAGCCUAUCUAUCACCACAGCAACAUAUUCUUCAAGUUUGCGGCGAGGCAGUGGGAUACAGGUAAUGACCACCAAUCAUCCCUCCCUCGGGUACUGCUCAGAAUUUUGUGAUGGAGAAGCCCCACACACCAGGAAACUUGAUGAAGUCUAUUGCUAAUUCAUAGUUGGCAAUUCGUAUCAUCUUAUGCCGGGCGAUCAUUAAGCUAAUGUAAAUGAUCUGGAACUCACUCCCUCUGGUCAGCCAACAUAGGUAAGGGUAGAAAGGAAGGAUCUUUCUCUUGAGGGCCAUAGCAGAGAGCAGAAUCACGAGGCAGAUGAGGAUGGUGAGCCACAUGUAGUGAUCCGCAAUCAGCACACACACACCACUGGCGAAUGCUGCCUUGAACCCUAUGAACGCGACCUGCAGUAGUAUUUCGGAUAGAGUAAGACUGUAGACCUGGGUAACAGGAGUUCCUACCCGCACAUAGAUGACGAGGAAGGGAACACAAAUGGAGGAUAUCAUGGCCAGGGCAUCAGAUAUCAGAAACACCACAAAGGCAAUCCCCCUUAUACGCCUGUAGAUGCUCUCAUCAUCGCUGCGAUCCCUCUCAAAACUCCCUGAUAAGGUGAAUGCUGCAGUGAAGGUGACGGUGGUAAUAAGCGCUGCCACGACGGGUAGACUAUCGGCGAUCUCUUUAUAGUUCUUCUCUUCGACUUUGCUCUUUUGGUCUACCGUAUGCACUGUAUGCUUACUGUCGGCUAUUUCUUUUUGAUUCUUCUCUUCAACCGUGCCCUUUUGGUCCACCGGAUGGACCAUGUCCUGAAGGAGCUGCGGGUCACUGAAUCGCGCACCCUUAUUCGUCAAAUCAAUCACUACCUUGAACUGCAAAAACAAGUAGAACCUGUUAGAUCAUUUAGACGGACACCAAGAACAGGAGUGAAGGGUUUAAAGUACGUACCAUUUUGAUUACCAGGCGGUUCCUUGUGUUGGAUAGAGCGACAUCAAGAGCGGUUUGACCGCGGUUGUUGGUUGCACUAAGCUUGACUCUUGGACUGGACGACAACAUUUGUAUGAUGGCCAUGUCUCGAGAUAUUAUAGCUCGAUGCAGGGGAGUGUUCCCAUCCGAAUCCGGCUCGUUCAAGAGAUCAGUGAGACGAGGUGAUGUAGCCACAAAUCGGACCACUUGUUCUCUUCGUUUGCUGAUGGCUACGUGGAAGAAGUUGCUGCCCUCCCCGUCCCUCACCUCCGUACAACCGGAGCAUGUUUCGAUGAGAUGUUUGAUCACGUUCACAUGCCCGAAGCUUGCAGCGACAUGGAUUGCAGAGGCGCCACCAUUGUCUCGCACAUACGCGGUAGAUGGAUCAUUUUGUAGCAGAAGUCUCACCAUUUCAAGGUCUCCGCGGGCGGCUGCAAAGUGGAGAGGUACGAGUCCGGCGGCAUCGGCUUUUCGGGUUAAACUGGCCCUCUGCUGCAGCAACAUCCUUGUGAUUUCCACAGCUGAUAAAUCGGAAGACGUUGGAAAAGGUUGUGGGAUCCACCAAUAAACUAAAAGCUUAUAUUAAACAUGAGUAUUUAUAAUCUUUUAGAAGAUUCAAUCUUAUUUCCUUUCUGAAUUACGUAUGACUAAGACUCUUAAAUCAAAAUCUUAUUAAUUUAAUAUUUCAAGAAACCCAUAUAAAAAAUAUAUUGUCAAACCUUUCGUUUGAAAUAAACGAAAUUAAUUAUACACUAAGGAAACUACUAUUGGAACAAUCUACUGUUCUAAUUCAUAAGAGAGAGUCAGUCUUAAUUGAAACAGAUGGAUAUUUCUAUGUCUAUAAGAUUUAACAGUACAAUUUGACACAGAGGGUUCGUGUGAUCGAUCGACUUACGGUGGCUCCUGAGGACGGCUGAGUGCAAAGCCGUCCGCCCAUUGGGUCCGUCGCAUGACGCCUCCGUCGCCGCCAGCAAACGCCGCACGAUCGACGCUGACCCGCUUUCCACCGCCAUAUAGAGGGGCGACACGCCGUUGACGUUGUUGGUCACCGCCGAUACGCCCGGAGCCUUCGCCAUCAGUUCCUCGACGAAGGAAUCGUGGCCGUUCAGUGCCGCCUCGUGCAAGGCUGUGUUACCAACGUUGUUUACCAUGUAGGGCAGCCGACGUUCAGGAUCGCCCCGACGGGGAGGGUGAGGGAUGAAGACAUCCACCAUGGGCGUGUGGCCGGCUCUGGCAGCGCAGUGCAUCGGAGUGUCUCCUUGUCCGUUUUGGAUCAUGAGGAGGAAGGGCUGCCGGUUGAGGACUCCGGUGGCGAAGUCAGUGUGUCCUAGCUUGGCUGCAAUGUGAAGCACGGUGUUCCUUUCGGCCGUGACUUGAAGGAGGGAGUCGUUGCCUCCGAGUACGCUCAUGUCGCCCGUCCUCGCUGCCACCAACAAUUCAUGGCUCAUCGGAGUAGCAAAUAAGCCAGGGAGUGGUUCCAUGGCCUCCUCCUCUCCUUGUCGAGAUACUCUUUAACUAUUAUAAAGUAACCCAAGACGAUAUGCCGUCGAUAAGAAUGCGUUUGUGUGAUAUGGUUCUAACUCAUUCGAUGUUAAUGUCAGUGUGUCUCUAAACAGUGCGAUAAAGAAUUAAACUGAAACUUGGUAGUUGGUAAUCUUUGACCCAUUCUCCAAAACAUGUCUGAACAGAGUCAAUGUAAAACCAGCCGACUCCCAAGUCUUUCUUAUUGUGGAUGACAGUAGCCAACACAUGAUCAAGCCAUGAGAUGGUUUGGAUGGGAAGUCCCCAUCGAUCGUCCAUCAUCUGCAUAGAAUAGAAUAGAACAGCGGCACAGACAUCCCGUUCCAGUGGGAGUUUCUGAUUUCUUAUGACAGUGCCACAAUACCUGCCUUCUCCUCUCACACAAACCACACUACUGUUUUGUGAAAAAUGAUACUUAUAACCAUGCUUUUCUAUAUACAAACAAGCAAAUGUAGUCUCUUGAUGUUAAGUUAGCACACAUUGCUAAGAUUGCCCAAAUCGAAGUACAUCUUGAUUGUCACAUCCGUUCCUCCCUCUACUCUUCUAAUCUGUUAUGCGACCAUAUUAACUGCCCUCUUUAGUUAUUCUUCGUUUUUGAGUUCAAUUAAUUCUUCUCCUUCUAAUCCUUUGAAAUAGUCCCUACGGUCGGUAGCCUAAUAGAUCUCGCUCGAGCCCCAAUUUCAUCUUUGUUCGCUUUCUUUUCGGCAUUGGUAGAUGAAACCAACAUAUUAGAUGAGAAGAAAAAAAAAAGACUUGCAUGAUAAAAGAAGUCACGUCAAUAUAAAUGAAUGCAUUUGACCAAAUUUCAAAGUAAACCACAUAAGUUAGCCACAGAUAUUAGCUAGCUAGGAGCCUCGCAAUUAAGUUGACCAACUCAACUAUCGUGAAUCGGAACAUCUGACUCGGAUAACCAACUCAAAUCCUAUCUCAAUCUCAUUCUAAUCUAAUCAUAGUAUAAAUUACUCAGUGGUAGAAGAACAAUACUGUGCUGGUUGAAGUUGCAGCCAUAUAUAAAUAAAGAACCCACUGGCCGUCUUUGAGCUGUUCAUCGAAAGGUUUUAUGUUGUUAGAAUGGCAGGACAUACUCGACACAUCAAAUACAAUUUGAUGCGUCAACUGCUGACGGAAUCAGACGGUGCUUUCUGAAUAGUUAAAUGAAAUAUUAAUAAUUCUGUCUCAAUCUGCUCUAAUCGUAGUAUAAAAUAUUCCAAGGUAAGAGAACGUACUCUACUUCGCUGGUUAAAGUCGCAGCUUUGGACAACCUUUAAUAAAGUCGACGAAGUUUCGGGAACAAAAAUUCUUUUUUUCUCUCCACCUUUAGCCAUUUUUCUAGUGCAAGCAUAUGAGACAAUAUGAGUCUUUUCAACUCCGGAAAUAUCCCAUUAUUACCAUAAAAUGCUUCGUCCACAACAUUGAUUAAAUCCAUACCACUUAUCUCAACAAUCUCAAGAUCGAGUAGUCCUCCGAGUGAUGGUAGCUUUUUACAUCUCUUAAGAUUGAUUAGUUUGAUCUCUUUCAACUUGUGGAGAUAGUUAAACCCCUCUUUUAUCUAUACAGGGAAUUCUUCACCAACAUAUAAAAUAAUCUCUAAUUUUUUCAAGUUUGGAUUGGGUUGGAGGCCUUCAAGUAAUUGUAGCGAAACUAAUUCUGAAGUUAUCAUAUUUUCCCUAUUUACCCAUUUCUAAUGUAACUUCAAAUACAUGAGUUACGGAAGUAUAUCAUGCAACUUUAAAUAAGUCAAAGUAUCUUCUGAAUUUGACACUUGUUCGAGGUUUUAUAACUAUAAUUCAUUUAGAUUCAUCAACGAUUCCAACUUUAAGAAGGCAUUUCCAAGAUCACCAACUACGAUAUGUCCAGACAACUUCAGGAGAUUACUCAUCUGACUUAUUCCGUAUGAUAUUUGAUUCAAUGGACAUCUAUAUACAUUAAGAUUUGUCAGCUUUUUCAUAUUAUUCAAACCCUCAGGCAAUUCGAUAAGCCAUUGUUAACUUUUCAGGUCUAACUCUUGCAGAUUUAUAAGGUUGGUGACCGAAAUAGGUUGCCUCUGAAGUUUUAAAACAUGCAAGUUCUCAAGAUUAUUUAUUCGCUUCGGUAGUUUCUAAAGCUUUUCAUAAUAAACUAGAUUUAAUACUCAUAAAUUUCUGAGCUUGCAUAAGGAUUUAGUAAGUGCUUGGAUCUCGGACCGGGAAAGAUUGAGGUAUCUCAAGAUAAGCAACUUGCCCACCGAAUUAGGUAGCUGUUCGACUUUGAUGACUCGUAAAUAUAAUACACAUAGAUGUAUAAGAUUGGUAAACAUACCUUCCGGAAUUUGUAGGAUAUGAUAUUUAUAUUAAAGAUCCAUCUCUUGUUGUAAUAGCAAACCUCUCAACUGAUUUAUCCCAUCGAAUAAGGUCGUCGGAAAUGUGAUCGUAUUGGAAUCGAUGAACAUACGUAAAUAAAGAUAUUGUCGUGGUAUUGUUGAAUUUGAUAAAACCCCCCUCAAGUCAUAGCAAUGUUUUGUGGUAAUAAAUAAAAAAUACAUAUCAUCAUAGACGUGGAACUCCAGAUUUGCCUUUAAUGGUGCCUUCGACGUCUGAAUACGGCAGAAAGCCUUCAGCAGCUAAGACGUGCAAGAAGUCCUCAUAAUUGGUCUUGCCAUCUUGUACGAUCAACCAGCGGUACAACACCAAUCGUGUCAUCGUAGGUGUCAUGUAAUGAAGAAAAAUUAAAGUCGUAUCCUGGUUGUGCAUCGCUUUCACCCACUGACGCAUAAUUAGAGCAUAAAUUUGUUGUUGCCAUCGAUUCAUUUCAGUAUAUCUGAAUACGGAGCCAAAAAUCUUCGCCUCCGUGGGAGACCAAUCAUUUAAAUAAUAAAAUAAUAGUUUCUCUUACAGGAUUGAAUUAUGGCGUUUGCUUGCUCGUGUUGAUCAGGCCGGAUGAGUGCUUGUCUCAUGCACAAUUUUGCCCACUCAUCCUCCGAUAGGCCGCUGAAUUGCCACGUUCGGACGGACGACCCCAAUAUAUCCAGAAUAAAAAACAAGUUAGGAAUGACCACCGCGGUAAUCCCCGAUGCGCCGACGAGCAAUAGAAAGUUCUCCAAUUGGAGCCACUUAUCCUUGUCCUCCUCCCCUAUGUUGAGAUCAUCCAGAACGAGGAAGUAUUUGCUUACAUGGAUUCCAUCGUAGAAUAGUCAAACGUCAUCGCAUGGUUCCCCGGUUAUUGAACUCAUGAAUUCUCUCGUAGAUUUAAUGUUAGGGACAUCCACCCUUUAUAACGGGAUAAGAUAUAUAUAAUAUAACUAAUUGAAUUCUAUGAAAUAUUUUGGUCAAUAGAAAAGAAAUCCACUUAAAAUAGGAUUCCUUAGGAGAUAACUUUUUGAUGGGAGGAAAUCUCUAAAUUAUUUAUCUUAGACUCUCUGCUCUCGCCUAUAAAUAGAUAAGACUUCUAGGGACUAAAGAGAGAAUAUCUCAUAGAGGUUAUAGUUGAGGGAUUAUAGUAUUCCCCCCAACUCUUCUCCUUAAACCAUCAAUCUAGGUUGUCCUGUGACAGAAUGAUCAAACAUAGAUCUCUUUUCAGAUGGCAUCAAAAGGUACGCAUUGUUAAACUAGAUCUAAGUAUUUGAUUUCAAUUCUGGUAUAAUAGAUUAUUUUUAUAUUUAAUUCAGCAUAUUAUAGUUUUUUUAUGUUUACAUCAACUUGAGUGGCUUUACUAGUUUGCAUGUGAGUGCCCAUUCAUUUUUUUCAAAACAGUCACAUAUUAUUGUUGCCCAUUAUAUAUAGUAAUGUUAAUUUUAUCAUAUUAUCUUGCUACGGCAAUUCAAUAUUUGCUUUAUCCACUCUAAUACUACUCUGUUAUGUCCUUAGCUAGAAUUGCUUAAGGCGUAUGGUAUCCAAAUGAUGAGUCCGAAAGGGUUAACCUAGACCUUAACUUUAUGCAGUAUAUAAAGAACCUGUAUAAUGAAAAAAAAUGUUAAAAAGGUGAAUGUAGGGGUAAUUUAUCAUUGUUGCAUAAAAAAGGGCAAGAUAAUCGACAUUCAAAGUAACACAAAGUAAUUGGUGUUUAUUAGACUCGAAAGGGUCUCAAAAAUAGGCAGAACGAGUGCACACAAAGGAGAUUCCGAAGGUAGAUGUAGGCCUAAUAUUUGCCACUUGGGGGGGGGGGGGUUCUAAAGUGCUGAGACAACUGAUAUUUCAUAUCGCUAGGCCAUCAACCAAAAAUCAACUGACAUUUCAUAUCGUUAGACCAUCAACCAAAAAUCAACUCCUAGCACGUGAGAACAAUAUAGUUUUAGGUCAUUUUCCGCUUUGGUGCCGCACAACCAAAAAUAUUUUUAAGUUUUACAUGAUAAAAACAUAAAAUAAAAACACUGAUAAUAAACAAAAAAGGGGUUGAGUAUAGUGUUUUAUGUCUCGUACAGGUUGUCCUAAAGAAAACAUCGAAAAUACGAAGAAAACAACAUAAAACAAGAAUUGAAAAUUAUCAUGGACAAAUGAUGAAUACCUUGUCAUGUGACUGACACAUGAUUGACACAUCAACAACCACUUUUAUGUAUCGAUCAUGAUUAUAAUGGUAUAAAAAAUCCAUUAUAAAGGAGUUUCCCAAGUAUUUUCAUGAAACUUUUUUCAAUAUUAUUAAAGUUAUUGGUUGAAUACUUCAAGUCCAAAAUAAACUUAAGCAUCAAAAAAACAUUUAUUGAGAAUGCCCCUAAAAUAGUUCUAUGAAGAACAAUAUGGUUCAACCACUUCGAAAUUGAUAGGAUUCAACCUCAUCCGGAUCCAAUGGGUUUGGCACCUUCAAGGUUGAACGAGUGUGGUGUCGAUUGAGACAAAUUAUGACAAAUAUAAAAUGAACCUCGGGUAGCUUUGAAUAUGUAGCCAGACAAAUUAUGACAAAUGUACAACCGAAUUCUAUGCUAAUAACAUAUAAGUGAUGAAAUAAAUUAGAUGCUUGAUCCAAAAUUUUAGCUAUAGACCCUCAAUCUUUGUUUCCUACACUUAUCUUGAAUAUAUUCGAUCUGAUAAUGACUUCCAUAAACGUGGUUUUGUAUAGACUAGCAUAAAUUUUAGUUCGAUUCUAAAAUUUGAAAUCAAUCAAUUAAUUUUAAGAAGAGAUUUGUAAUUAAAGACCUUUAUGUGUUUCUUGUUGAUAGGACGUGACUUGUUUGUAAUGAAAAGAAAAUAUUUAAAUUUGACUAACAUUUUGAGAAAGAGAUUAUGAUGCAAGAAUGAAGAAAAAAAAAGUUGAAAAUAUAACAUUUUCCUUCCUUUAAAUUUUUUUACUUAUAUUAAAUUAGUGUGAGAAAAUUAGGGUGCACCCUUUGAGAAAUAUGAAAAAGGUCGCAUCUCCCAAGAAAAGUCUAGAAAUUCACCCAAAUUUAUUCUCAGCGAGUGUUCCAAAGGAGAAAAAAAUAUAUAAUAUACUCAAAUUCUUGAGUUUUGAACUGUUCUUAUUUGAAUAGUCACAAUCAUAUUCAUGAAAAUAUAAAAGAUCAAAAAGGAGUGGUAAAAAAACAAAAAAAUCUUAUAAAUUAUAUUAAAAAUGCAUUUAUCAUAAUUUUAUUAUAUUAUUAAAAAGUACAUUAUAUAUUAUUACACAGAUUAGAUAAGAAAUAUUGUAUAUUAUAUAAGAUUUGGUUUAACAUAAUGUAUUGAGUGAGAAUAUUUUCAAGAAAUGAUGCCAAUGUUAAUAUUUUCUUAAAUCGGAUUUGGAAGGGAUAGUUAGAUCACAUUGCAAUUAAUUUAGUGAUCAGCAAGGGAAGAGUGUCAUUCCUUAUCAGGAUCUCUUAUCCACGUUUAGAGUUGGAAAUAACAAUACCAAGCAAGAGCCGUAAGCUCUUGAAACAAGCCCAUGUCUCGAGAUGUGUUAUUUUCAGGCCGAAGUUCUUCGAUAACAUUAACAACCUGUUUUUUGUUUUUGAAUUUCUAAAGAAAAACAUGUAUAAUUAAUAUUAAAAACAUAUAUAAUUUCCAAAUCAAAACAUGAAGCUCCAAAGAAAACCCCUCGACCCAAAAAUUUCCAUAGCCACUUACUUUAGCGGCAUUCGCUAGCAUGAUGAAGUCAUUGUGAAUUUAUAAGACUUAGAUCUUGUGAAUUUAUACAAGCACUUUAUUCUUUAGAUGCUUCCCUAUCGAUCGUAAAGUCUUGUGAAUUUAUAAGAGUUAGAUAUUGAAGGAUGUCAAUGAUUCGUCAAGUCUAUAUAUAUCCAUUGGCUUAAAUGUGGAAUACGAGCACUUUAUUCUUUAGAUGCUCCCCUAUCGACUGCAAAGUUUUGUGAAUUUAUAAGAGUUAGAUCUUGAAGGAUGUCAAUGAUUCGUCAAGUCUAUAGAUGUCCAUUGGCUUAAAUGUCGCAGGGAAUAGAGAAGAUGGGUAACCUCCUAACAUUGUCUUAGUUAACAGUCGAAACACUAUCACAGAGUUGUAGUCAUUAAGAGAUUCAAAAGAACGGCAUCUACAAAACCUCCCUACUCCUUUAAAGUUGCACAACUUACUUAUGCAUUGCAUUCGAAAUGGUUAAAUAUGACAUUUGAAUUGUAAGUAUUUGGAGGUCUCCAACACAACCCAAAAUUGAAAAAAAUUAGAAAUCAUUUCAUAUGCUGACAAGAGAUUCCCAAUAUGAAUAAAAGCGAUUUUUUGAUGUCUCUAUAAUCUGAAAGUGAUCAAACUCAACAGAAACUAAUUGGUCUCGAGAUUAUUAAGAUAAAUGUUGGCAUAACCAUGCGACGAGUUGCUACUUAUUGAUGAGGUGCAUCUGUCAUACAUAUAAGCACAUUGCGGAUAAUGGUCAAAUUAACAUUAUUACUUGUUGAUGAGGUCAAAUUUGGAUCGUCCAUCUGUGGAAGAAAACCAUUCGAGCCUAUCUAUCACCACAGCAACAUAUUCUUCAAGUUUGCAGCGAGGUAGAGUGAUACAGGUCGUGACCACCAAUCAUCCCUCGCUCGGGUACUGCUCAGGAUUUUGUGAUGGAGAAGCCCCACACACCGGGAAACUUGAUGAAGUCUACUGCUAAUUCAUAGUUGGCAAUUCGUAUCAGCCUAUGCCGGGCGAUCAUUAAUCUAGCGUAAAUGAUCUGGAACUCACUCCCUCUAGUCAACCGACAUAGGUAAGGGUAGUAAGGAAGGAUCCUUCUCUUGAGGAUUGGAAUAGAGAGCAGAAUCACGAGCCAGAUGAGGAUGAUGAGCCAGUGAUCCGCAAGAAGCACACACACACCACUGGCGAAUGCUACCGUGAACCCUAUGAACGCAACCUGCAGUAAUAUUUCGGAAAGAGUAAGACAGUUGACCUGGGUAACAGGAGUUCCUACUCGCACAAAGAUGACGAGGAAGGGAACACAAAUGGCGGUUAUCAUGGCCAGGGCAUCAAAUAUCAGAAACACCACGAAGGCAAUCCCCCUUAUACGCAUGUAGAUGCUGCCAUAAUCGCUGCGAUCCAUCUUAAAACUACUUGACAAGGUGAAUGCUGCAGUGAAGGUGGCGGUGGUAAUAAGCGCUGCCACGACGGGUAGACUAUCGGCGAUCUCUUUAUAGUUCUUCUCUUCGACUUUGCUCGUUUGGUCUACCGUAUGCACUGUAUGCCUACUGUCGGCUAUUUCUUUAUGAUUCUUCUCUUCGACCGUGCCCUUUUGGUCUGAUGGACCAUGUCCUGAAGGAGCUGCGGGUCACUGAAUCGCGCACCCUUAUUCGUCAAAUCAAUCACUACCUUGAACUGCAAAAACAAGUAGAACCUGUUAGAUCAUUUAGACGGACACCAGGAACAGGGGUGAAGGGUUGAAAGUACGUACCAUUUUGAUUCCCAGGCGGUUCCUUGUGUUGGAUAGAGCGACAUCAAGAGCGGAUUGACCGCGGUUGUUGGUUGCACUAAGCUUGACGCUUGGACUGGACGACAACAUUUGUAUGAUGGGCAUGUCUCGAGAUAUUAUAGCUCGAUGCAGGGGAGUGUUCCCAUCCGAAUCCGGCUCGUUCAAGAGAUCAGUGAGACGAGGUGAUGUAGCCACAAAUCGGACCACUUGUUCUCUUCGUUUGCUGAUGGCUACGUGGAAGAAGUUGCUGCCCUCCCCGUCCCUCACCUCCGUACAACCGGAGCAUGUUUCGAUGAGAUGUUUGAUCACGUUCACAUGCCCGAAGCUUGCAGCGACAUGGAUUGCAGAGGCGCCACCAUUGUCUCGCAAAUACGCAGUAGAUGCAUCAUUUUGUAGCAGAAGUCUCACCAUUUCGAGGUCUCCGCGGGCGGCUACAAAGUGGAGAGGUACGAGUCCGGCGGCAUCGGCUUUUCGGGUUAAACUGGCCCUCUGCUGCAGCAACAUCCUUGUGAUUUCCACAGCUGAUAAAUCGGAAGACGUCGGAAAACGUUGUGGGAUCCACCAAUAAACUAAAAGCUUAUAUUAAACAUGAGUAUUUAUAAUCUUUUAGAAGAUUCCAUCUUAUUUCUUUUCUGAAUUACGUAUGACUAAGACUCUUAAAUCAAAAUCUUAUUAAUUUAAUAUUUCAAGAAACCCAUAUAAAAAAUUAUAUUGUCAAACCUUUCGUUUGAAAUAAACGAAAUUAAUUAUACACUAAGGAAACUACUAUUGGAACAAUCUACUGUUCUAAUUCAUAAGAGAGAGUCAGUCUUAAUUGAAACAGAUGGAUAGUUCUAUGUCUAUAAGAUUUAACAGUACAAUUUGACACAGAGGGUUCGUGUGAUCGAUCGACUUACGGGAGCUCCUGAGCACGGCUGAGUGCAAAGCUGUCCGCCCAUUAGGUCCGUCGCAUG
Molecule: long non-coding RNA, 19375 nt
Filed under: Musa acuminata (dwarf banana)
Lineage: Eukaryota; Viridiplantae; Streptophyta; Magnoliopsida; Zingiberales; Musaceae
Description: long non-coding RNA (MACU_LNC004981)
Source: RNAcentral